UGCUUGGGAAUAUGCCUUUAGGUGGGGGACAACAGUUGGAAACGACUGCUAAUACCGCAUAAUGUCUACGGACCAAAGUGGGGGACCUUCGGGCCUCACGCCUAAAGAUUAGCCCAAGUGGGAUUAGCUAGUUGGUUGAGGUAAUGGCUCACCAAGGCAACGAUCCCUAGCUGGUUUGAGAGGAUGAUCAGCCACACUGGAACUGAGACACGGUCCAGGCUCCUACGGGAGGCAGCAGUAGGGAAUCAUCCGCAAUGGGCGAAAGCCUGACGGUGCAACGCCGCGUGAGUGAUGAAGGUU
This 300-nucleotide ribosomal RNA is filed under the name uncultured Pseudoalteromonas sp. RNAcentral's name for it is "bacterial SSU rRNA". It matches the Rfam family "Bacterial small subunit ribosomal RNA", at positions 114 to 416 of the family's 1533-position model. The record is from RNAcentral. Lineage: Bacteria; Pseudomonadati; Pseudomonadota; Gammaproteobacteria; Alteromonadales; Pseudoalteromonadaceae.